Non-coding RNA from Labrus bergylta (ballan wrasse), 366 nucleotides. Lineage: Eukaryota; Metazoa; Chordata; Actinopteri; Labriformes; Labridae. The record is from RefSeq and is a predicted model, not a curated record.
GCUGAGGCACAACAGUUUCCUUCUAUAAUAAUAAAGGUGUUUAUUUGUGUGUGUCUGUUAAGGAGGAAAUGGAGAAUCCUAACUCUGCAUUUCCUUUUUCAGCCCAGAGCCGUGCAGAGACCAGACUCUGAAGUACUCAGUAUGUCUGACUCAAUGAGGAACCGCAGGUUACAACACUGGCUUAAUGAGCCCAACUCGACCUUCUCCCAAUCGAUGAUAGAUGGCGCUGAAGCAGCAGAUGAUGCUAUAGAGUCAGGAUUCUCAUCUGUCAGUCACUUUCUCAGUGAUGACGACCAAUCGACAUGUCCAUCUGAUCUAUCCCUCCACAGUGAUUGGUCAAAUGGAAUAUUUAUUGAUUUUAAAAAA